UCAACCUCGAGACGGAGGAGUGGGGUGUUCUACCUGGUCCAGAACAGGUCCAGAGGUUUGUGCAAGAGAACAAUGCUUACAAUUACUCAGAACUUGAGUUCCGGUUAUCAUUGGCUGAGUUGGACGGCUGCUUAGUUGUGGUUCAUAAUAUUCAUUACAAAUCUAUGGACUUGUGGUUUUUGACAGAUUUUGAGAAAGGUACCUGGGUUAAGAGAUACAGCAUGCCUUCACAUGUUGCUAGGCCUUAUAGGUAUCCUUUUCUGAUGUUAGAUGGUGGGGGAAUUUUCUUCAGUGGUUCGAAUGGUCGACAAGGUUUAUUUAGUGUUGGAGAGCAAGGAGAGGAAUUUGUGCGAAGUUAUGAUUCAAGAAGUGACACUUACUCUGAUGUGCUAAAACUGAAAGAUUCCAGAUCCAUUAGCAUUUGCACAGGAAGCCUGCUGAGUUUGUAGAGUAGCUGCCACUGAUGAGGCGAAUAAUGCAUCGUACUGGCUGUUCACCUUAUGUUCUAAAUGCGAACAGUUAGUGAGACAAUGUUCUGAUGCAUGCAUCGAUGAAAACACAAGUGUGCCUUCAGAGUAUAUUAUGUUCCAUCUCUGAUACAUUUUGCAUGAGAAGAUUUGCAGUUUUUUGUUCGUUCCAUUUAUAUGGCAUUUUCUGGAGUUUGGUCAAUGAGUUGGUAUAUUGAUAUGGUCAGUUUGUAAUAAAACAAGCUUUUGGAUGUGGUGUUUCAAAAUAUAAUACGCUGCUCCUAGUGCAACAUAUGAGUACAGGAAUGCACUCAUGUCAAUAAUAAUGCACAGUACCUUGUUCCUUAAAGGUGAUCUUACCCUUUGGUGCUUGUGUCACAUUUAUGUUGUCCUUGAAUGUUCAAUGCUACCUGGUGUGCAUUGGUGUCACUGAGUCACAUCUUCUGUUUCACUGUUAUCCUUCGAUCUCUUGGCUCCUUUCUUUUGUCACCAUUCUUUUACUGAUUUUUGUGCUUGUAGUUCAUCUUCUGCUCCGGUUUUGAAGGGACACAAAAUUAAUGGAGUCAUGAUUAAUCUGUUUGCUGAUCUAUGGGUGACUCAUAUCGAGUGAAUAUUCAACAAGAAGUCCCAUAAUCACUGGCUGUGGUAAUUUACAAGCUCUCCUCUCCGCUGCUUCCAUGUAAAAUGAAAUGAUGGCAAGGAGCUUUUCUGCGAUGAAGAGAGAACUCAGAACCCAACUCUGUAGGGCAAGGCUUGCUGUACAAAGAGCGUGAUUACCGCACGGAGAGUAUUUUCUGUCUUUUGUGUCUGGUGCUAGUUGGAUAAUUGGAUUUUAUAGAUUUUGGUCUUGUAACUGUAGGAUUCUCUCCCAUUUUUAGAUCUGUACUGAACUAUGUGGAUGCUCUUUAGAACACGUUCUUUGUUUUAUUUUGGUACUGCAGAAACUCGGAUAAUUUAUAAGAACCAGAUGGUUUCUUUUGGUAUACUAGUAACCAUGCACGUGCAAGGCACUUCUCACAUAAAAUUUAUCUUUAACAUCCAAUGGAAUUAAUGCCUACUAUAACUCUCUUCCUGAACGAAUAAGAUAAGCUGACUCUAAUCUGGCUUUUGCCUGUUGGUACCUAAAAUCACCAAUCAAUUUCUACAAAACUUGCUCUAUCUUGCAUCUUCAAAUUUAUAAUUUAUCUGGUCGAACUGGUUGGCCUCUUGGUGAAUGGAAGCUGGAAAUCCUUGCAUCUUAUUGUGUGCGACGGAGUAGGUUGUAGUCAAAAAAAAUUUGGCCACUAAUAGGCGCCGGCGCGCCGGCCCAAUUUUGGGCCGGUCAGCCCGCAGCCGUACGAUUUCUUUUGAUUCUAACAGUUCGAUGCACUCUGUCUUUGUCAAAACACACGCGUACGAAAAGAUUUCCUUCAUCGCGUCGCUCUCUUCCGUCUGGCCGGCCGCACAUGCUAUCUGGUUGCUACCCUCGCGGCCGUCCUCGUCGCCCUCGUUGGCCUUCAACCUCGCCGGCCGUCCUCAUCACCGGUUGUAGCAUCAAAUGGCGCUCCGGCGUCGCUCGCAGCCAAUAGCGGUUGUAGCAAAAAGCUAUGUCGAUUCCAGCAAAACAAAACAUGGUGGAAGCAAAAAAUUGGUCAUCUAUUCUGGCAAAAAACACAACACGGUGGAAGCAACUAAGAUGAGACACCGGUUCCAGCAAAAACCCAACACGGUGGAAGCAAAAUGAGACGCCGGAUCCAACAAAAUAAAGACGGUGAUAGCAAAACUUGGUCUGGUUCCAGCAAAAUCUGAAGACGGUAAUAGCAAAAAUUGGGGAUGAUUGCAACAAAAAUACAAACUGGUUCCAGCUGUGCUCGUUGCAAUUGCAGCAUCGCCAUCGGCCGUGGUCACCACGACGGAUCGUGGUCACCACCACCAUGGGAUGGCUCCCGCUGGUAGCAGCUUCGCCAUGGAUGGUUGCAGCUAGUCGUACAGAGGUCGCAACCAUCCCAUGGCGUCGCCGUGGCUCAGGUGCAAAACGGAUGCAGCUCCGUGCACCACCGGGUUGCAGCACAUCGCGGCACACCGUCGUCGUCGUAGCAAAAACGGUUGGCUGGCUGCAGCUUUUGUGUUGCCGGUUGCAGCUCAUCGCGGCAGCACUGUCGGCGCCGUAGCAAAACAGUUUGCCGGUUGCAGCUUUUUAUUUUGCCGGUUCCAGCUGCUGGCGCAACCAAUAGCAGCACCGGAGCUCGCCGGUUCCAGCGGACGAUGGGUGGACUGCAGCGGUGGUCCUAAGGGGCAGCGACGGCGUGGGCUCGCAGCAUCACUGGUGUGCCCGACCUUGCCUUGGGUACUGAUGGAAGAAGGGAGGCCAGAGGUAGAAGAAGAAAUUGGGGACGAAGAGAUACACAGGGUAAAGCCAGAUGUGGACGAGAGAGGAUAAGAGACGUGUGGAUGUGGUUCUUCUGGAGAAAAGGAGAAGCGGUGCGCUUGGGGGCCCACAACUACAUUGCGUGUGGUGUGUGACCGGCUGUUGUUUCGGCCGGUGCGCCGUCUCCGAACGUUUUCCAAAAAAUUUUGCGGGGCUGUAGGUUGUAGUCAAUUGAGGGCAUGCACAAUGGUGGCAUAUGGAUACAGAUGCCCCGUGACAAAAAGUAGUUUGAGGCACCUACAUUUAUUUUUUCUCCCCAAUGCAACCUACCACUAGUGGGCCUCAUUAAGAAAUAGAAAAUAAAGACUUUAAUACACAUGCAUCUCUACUUUUCACUCCAACCUUUUCAGCUUUUGACCCCGGACCACACUUUUUCUCUCCAAGCACCUGCCUCUUGAAGAGGAUUCCGCUUCCCUAUCCGAACCAUUUUACGUUAUAUCCGAUCCUACGUGGCAUGCGAGGCAUCACCCUGGGGCUAUGCAUUGUACAUGCCCUGAUGCCACUCAAAUGUAUAGUGCUUGGUAGAAGGUCAAAGGGUAUCUAUGAAAGGUGCAGGUGAAUGACGAUUAACAUAUAUUAGGAUAAUCGACGGCUUACCCGCAGUUCAUUAGUUACCUCAACUUCCCAAUCAUGCCUUCCAUUCCACAGUCAAGCAAAGGUUGUUGACCUGGUAUCUAUAGGCUUGAGGCUGAUCCAAAUUGCACGCAUUUGAUCUUGUGACAACAACAUCAGUGCUUACCUCGAAAGUCAUCUAAUGUCUUCAUGUUCAUUAUAUUUUGCAUCGUACUUGUUGGUCUGGAUGUAUAGAAGUAAAAACAUUAAUAGCUUAAUCCUGGAAUCUUAACACGUCGAUCCAAAACCCUCGGAAAGCUCCUUGCAAUGAACUAAUAUUUUUUUGACAUUUUCUCAAGGAAAAGAUAGCAAGGUUGGGCAAAAAUAUAUUAAAAAAAGUUAAGAAACGGUGAACAUAUACCUGCAGGUGAAAAGAAAAAAGAUGGAAUAAAAAAUAAAUAUGUAGUAAAAAUAUUCAUUGUUUAUUUAAAAAUGUUCAUCGGGUAUUUUAAAGCUGGUCAUCAUGUAUUUUUAAAAAAAUCAUUAACUAUUUUAAAAAAUGUUCGUCGUGUAUUUUUUAAAAAUCAUCCGUUAUUUAGACAAUGUUUGCUCCGUGUAUUUAUAAAAUAUUCAUCAUGUAUUGUUUAAAAAAUAUGUGAACAUUUUUAAAAAUGAACUAUUUCUUCAACUUCACGAACAUUUUGAAGUACGUGGACACUUAUUAAAAAUAAAAAAUUAUAAUUUGUGAAUACUGGUUAAAAAUACAUACCCAAUAAUUCACGAACACUGAUUAAAAGUAUAAUUUAUGGGGCGUGCGUCCGUCAUCUCUGUGGCCGUUGGAUCAGAUUUUAGUGAGAUGGCCAGAAACAACGUAUUACCUAGACUAGUUUUUACAAUUGAGUGGUUGUUGGGAUUUCUCCCACCGCAACAACUGAAGCGUUGCGGGAUCUGAAUCUGGAUCUCUUCGAGAGCAGCCACCACCCGUGCUCCUUCAAAGCACCCCCAAUGCGUCACCAUUGACGCCGGCAAGCACCCCCGUCGCGCCACCACCAAGUACCCUCGUUGUUUCAAUCCUGACGCCCGCGAGCACGCGCUCCGCCGUCGUGGUUGUCGGCCGCCUCCACCACCAUCCACCCUCUCUCCUCCUCCCUCUUCUCACCUUCAUCCAGACGAGGCGCUGGCAGCCGCGCCGCCGCCGAGCACCCCUGUUGCGCCACCGCUGACGCCGGCGAGCACGCGCUCCGCCGUCGCGGUCAUCGGCCGCCUCCACCAUCACCCACCCUCUCUCCUCCUCCCUCUUCUCGAUCGAUGGCGCCCGCUCCUGCUGCUACCAGGUGAUGAAGAAGACGACCUCCGCUCGACACCGACAACACAAGGCGUCGUCCACUUCAAGGCUUCGUCGACUUCUGCAACAUCAUCGUUGUUGCAAAAAAAAUCGCCCCAAGACCUCUGUUGCAAAAAAAAUAAAUUCACAACACAACCUCUGUUGGAAAAAAAUUCUGCAACACAACCUCUGUUGCACAAAAAUUCUGCAACACAAUCUCUGUUACAAAUAUUUCUGCAACAAGGUCUUUGUUGCAAAGUUGAGAAAAGAAGUUCACCCUGCUAGAUCUGUGUCAGAUCCGACGACUCGCGAGGCGGUGGAUCUUUUAAAAAGAUCCGCCGGCCGACGCGCAGCAGCCCCCUUUAUUUAUAUAGAAGAUUUAUAAAAAUAGGGAAAACAUGAAAAAAAAAUGUGAGAAGAAAAAUGAAAGAAAAAAGGGAAAGAGAAAACCUGCUCCCCCCAAACAAAAAUGAAAGAGAAAAGGGAAAGAAAAAUGUGCCGCUCCGGCUAGGCCUGGCCCAUACCGCGGCGAUGUAGGCGAGUCCGUGCUCCCCCCCAAGCCCUCGACCACUGCAGUGGCCGCUUUCCCCCCUCCGCCCUCCUCGUCCACGGCGCUCGCCCCGCCGCCAGGCUGCUCGCCGCCGUCGCUCUCGGUAAGGCCAAGUCCCCCUCGGCACAGACCCAUCUGAAUCCACCUUUUAUUUGGCGCCCUUCCUAGCUCACCCACGGCAUCUACUUACCACAGCCGACGGUGAUGUCGUCUUCGGAGCUGCGCCUGCGCCCCGCCACCCCCUUCUCCGGCGACCUUCCCGCGGACGAGCUGUGCGAGGUCCUCCUUCGCCUCCCGGCCAAGGAGCUCUGCCGCCUCCGCGCUGUCUGCCCCGCCUGGCGCGCCCUCACCUCCGACCCGCUCUUCAUCGCGGCGCACAAGUCCCGCCACCGCACGGCGCCCCCGCUCCUCGCCAUGGCCUACCGCGACGACAGUGGGGUCAACGGCGUUGAGAUUUCGGAUUUGUCCGGCAAUGUGGUGAAGCGGAUACCAGGCGCCGGGUAUGAAAUUGUUCUGGUGGACGGGUUGUCAGGGGUUGCCGGUGGGCGGAUGUCAAGCAAGGACGAUACCAUCCGUGUUGCGCGCACGCGGCUUGACCUUGUCUGUUUCAACUGGAGGUUCUGCUCUGGAGACUUCUGGGUGCUGAACCCGGCCACCGGAGAUACCAUCACCUUGCCGAUGGGCUUCUCGGAGGAAUUGGCGCAUGAGCUAGAGGUGGAGGGGAUAAAGGAAUGGUGCUGCGGAGUCGAGUGGUGUGCUUUUGGGCAGGUCUCCUCUACAAGAGAGUACAAGGCGCUCCGCGUUUCUGACAUUGGUGAUCGGAAGGUAUGUGAGGUUAUCACCUUUGAUGCCGCCAACCAUGGAAACUGGAGAAAGCAGAACCCUCCAUCGGCCCACAUCUUUGCCAGUCUCAAGAUGAGGUCAUUGAAAUGCGUGGUCGUCGAUGGGGUGGUGUACUUCUUACUGGACUUCUACUCCACGUAUCAUGAAACUGGAGUUAUGACCAUUGAACCUGGCAGUGUAGCUUUGUUCAACCUCGAAACAGAGGAGUGGGGUAUUCUGCGUGGUCCAGAACAGGUGCAGAGGUUUGUACAAGAGAAUGACAUUUCUGGUUACUUAGAACUUGAACUCCAGUUAUCAUUGGCUGAGUUGAACGGCUGCUUAGUUAUGGUUCAUAAUAUUUAUAAGGUAUCUAUGGACUUGUGGUUUUUGACAGAUUUUGACAAAGGUAUCUGGGUUAAGAAAUACAGCAUGCCUUCACAUGUUGCUAGGUUUGGCAAUCCUUUUCUGAUGUUAGAUGAUGGGAGAAUUUUCUUCAAUCGGUUGGAUUAUGGACUAGGUUUCUUUAGUGCUGGAGAGCAUGGUGAGGGAUUUCUGCAAAGUUAUGAUCCAACAAAUGACACUUCUGGUGAGGCACUAAAACUGAAAGAGUCCAAAUCCAUUGGCGUUUACACAGGAAGCCUGCUGAGUUUAUAGAGUAGCUGUCAGUAAUGAGGUGAAUAAUGCAUCGAACUGGCUGGUCACCUUAUGUUGUAUAUGUGAACAAUUAGUGAGAGAAUGUUCUGAUGCAUGCAUUGAUGAAAAUGUAAGUGUGCGUUCAAAGUAUGUUAUGUUAAUCUCUGAUGCAUUUUGCAUCAGAAGAUCUGCAGUUUUUUGUUCGUUUCAUUUUGUAUGGCAAUUUCAGGAGUUUGGUCAAUGAGUUGCUAUAUAUAUUGCUAUGGUCAGAUUGUAAUAAACAAGCUUUUGAAUGUGGUGUUUCAAAAUAUAAUACUCUGCUCCUUGUGCAACAUAUGAGUACAGGAAUGCAUGAUCUGUUCCUUUCUUGGAACAGAUAAUGAGUUGCUAGGUAAAGUCAUGCACAGUAACAGUUCCAUGAAAGUGAUCUUUACUCUUUCAUUCGCGUCUCACAUUUAUGUUGCCCUUGAAUCUUCAAUGCUACCUGGUGUUACUGAGUCGCAUCUUUUGUUUCUCUGUUCUUCUUCCGCCUCGUGGCUGCUUUCAUUUGCCACCAUUUUUUGUUACUGAAUUUUGUGCUUGUAGACCGCUCAAAGUUUUGAAGGGACAAAAAUUGAACGAACUCAUGAUGAAUCUGCUUGCUGCUCUUAGCUUGGGAACCCAGGACGCUGUGUUCUGUGGGCGGCUCACAUCGAUUGAACAAUCUCUGGCUAUGGCUAUGUACAGCCUCUUCUCCAUUGCUUCCGUGUAAAAUGCAGAGGAUGGCAGGGGAGCUCUUCCGCGCCAAGGAUGGCUUGCUGUGCAGAGAGUGUUCUGGUCUUUUGUCUGGGCGCUAGUUGGGUACUUGGAUUUUGCGGAUUUUGGUCUUGUGACUGAGAGACUCUUUCAUUUUUCAGAUCUGCACUUAUGUGGAUGUCUUUUAGAAUAUGUUGUCUAUUUUCCUUUGGUGAUGAAGUCGGGAAUAUAUAUAUUAUGUACUGAAGAAACUCAGAAUUUUUCUAAAGAACCAGUUAGUUGCUUUUAUUACACUAAAAUGCAGAGUAACCAUGCACGUGGAGUGCACUUCUCACAUAAAUUUACGUUUGACAUCAAUUUACAUAAAUUUACAUAAAGAGCUCUUGCGUACUAUGCUUCUUUCAGUGAACGAAUCAGAAUAGACUAGUUGACUAGUAUGAUCAAGCUCUUAAUUAUCUAAAAUGUCAUCACUCUGUUUCUCCAAAAAAACUUGUUUUAUCAUGCAUCUGCAAACACAUUCUCAAUUCUGAUCGUAUCAUGGGUGAGAAUUGGUGGCCUCCCGCUGAAUGGUGGCUCAAAAUCCUUGCAUAUUUAUUGGAUCCCAUGUACCACUCUGUUCCUAAAUAUAAGUCUUUUUACAGAUUCCAAUGCGGACUACAUACGGAGCGAAAUGAGUGAAUGUACACUCUAAAAUAUGUCUAUAUACAUCUGUAUGUAGUUUUUAUUGAAAUCUCUAAAAAGACUUAUAUUUAGGAACAGAAGAAUGGCUGCAGGACACGGGGAACGAUUGGCUCUUGAACAUUCUGGCGAACUGUGAUGAUUCGAUGCGUGAUUGCACAAUAAUGUUGAUCUGGAGAAUUUGGUCAUUGAGGUCAGACCUGGCUCACGGGAAGGAUAUUCCAUCCGUGGUGGCAACGGCUGAAUAUCUUCAGAGUUAUAUGAAGUCGAUACAUGUGAGCAGGAGGUUCACAACGGAGGAGAUUAUCAAGGGAAAGAUGCCAAUGGUUCAUGAUACGCCUGUCGAGCAGCGGGUUACGGCCCCUUCACUGCCAUGGCCGAACCCACCUGCGGACUGGGCUGCGCUAUCUGUCGACGGAGUGUUCUCACCUUCUGAUGGCUCGGCGGCGGCGGGAAUGAUACUGCGCAGGCAGGAUGGCAGCGUGAUAUUUGCUGCCUACCGUUGCAUCUUCAACUGCAAUGAUGCUUUGGAGGCGGAACUACAUGCGAUAAUGCAGGGCAUGGCACUCACUAUUCAGCACUGUUCCCUACCGAUCAUCGUUCAGUCUGAUUCUAUGGAGGCACUAGCAGCUAUGAAGGGGGAAAGUCUAAUCAGAUCGGCGUAUGGCCAUCUAGUAGCGGAGAUUCGGCAUCACAUGUUGGAGCGGGAGUUUAUUCCGUCUAAAAUUAAACAGGAACAAAAUAGGGUAGCACAUCGUUUGGCAUUGUAUAGCCGUACGGAGAGCACUACUGCUGUAUGGCUUGGUAGAGGUCCACCUUGUAUUGAGGAGUUGGUGCCUCUCGAUUGUAACCCUAUUCAUAUGGAAUAAAACUCUCUUAUCAUUGCAAAAAAAAAAAAUUAAUGCCAACCAAAUGUAUAACACCAAUCCGGGCACCUGUCAGUUCAAAUCUACGGUCUGCGCUUCGCCUUUGAGACGGCGCGAGAUGCAAGCCUGUGGCUCCUUGGGCGUGGAAUUUGUGCUAGUGCGGCAGCGAGGGCGGACGGUUGUGUGCUUGCAACCCAUCGUUGUGUUGGCGGUGGGUGAGGUUGGGUCCCCAGGGUCUUUGGAGCGGCCGCUCGGCCGGUGGGCACCGCGAUGCCACCGUGGCAGGUGCCGCCCUGCUGGUGCUGGUGUGUGUCUUGGCCGUUUGGACGGCGAGAUGGCUCACUUGGGAGGCGUCUAGCGUGCGGGUGUUGACUUCACAACCACCCCGUUCUGCUACGUGUGUCGUUCGCUUAUCUCAAUUGCUAGCUUUGCUUGUUGGACGUGGGUGGUGGGAGGUUGUCCCGAGCGAAAGCUCUGCUCGACUUUGUCGGUGCCGGUGACGACGAAGCUAGUGUGCGCCGUUUUCCCCCUUGUCGGCAUCACACGUGGGCUGUCCUCUGCUACCCGGGGCUCUGGGUAAAAACCCUUGGUCCGGAUUUUCCUGAACCGGACGGUGGCGAUGUUAUGGCGUCGUUCCCUCCUUAGAGGCUCCGUCUUGUGAGCAACUUCCAUGAUCUUGGUUAUCAGGUGGGCUUCAUGGACAACAGCAGCUUCUCCUCGUGUUGGCGAUUUCGUGCUAUUGAUGAUGGUGGUUCUCUCAAGGGGAGCUGGGUUCGACAAGGUUGUUUUGUUCGGAGGCCUACCUCGGGUCCUGGCAUCAGCUUUCCAUCUAGGCUCUGGGGUGAGCAUUCCAUCGUCCGACGGUGCAACGCCCUUUGAGCCUGGGUGAGGGAGCAGAUGGGCUCUCUUAGGCGAUGGAACUAAAUGGUGUUGUUGUGCCGGACGCCUAGGCGACGACAAUGACAUGGCCUCCGUUGAUGACUAGUCUUGCCCUCCUUCUCUGCGACGGUUCUCUGAUCACGUGCGAGGGCUCCAAUGACUUCCCUGUAUCUUGUGAGCUUUGUUGGUGGUCCUGAGCACCCUUGUUUCGUGCGGUUGUUUUUUUUUUUUCGAGUUGUAGAGCGUGGUGUUGUGUUGUGUCGGUUGUAAAGGCUUCAUUAAUUUAAAGUCGGGUGCCAGCCUUCUAUCCAAAAUAAAAUAAAACAAUGAUUGGUACAAGGUCAAGGGCAUCUAUAAAAGGUAAAUGGCAAUGAACAGCUAUGAUAAAUCGAUGGCUUACCUGAAGCUCGUUAGUUACUUCAACUUCGCAAGCAUGUAGAGCUGCAACAUAUGUUUAUCUCACAUACCCCAGUCAAACAAAAGUUUUUGACCUGGUAUGUGUAGGCUUGAGGCUGGAUACAAAUUGCAUGAUGAAUACAGAACGCUCCCACAUCUGAUCUUCUGACAACAAUGUCAAUGCUACCUCGAAAGUCACCUAAUGUCUUCUUAUUCAUUAUAUUCCAUCAUAUCUUUUGGUAUGGAUGUAAAAAAGGAAAAUUAUUAACACGUUAACCCCAUAUUCUUAGCACGUCGAUCCAAAAGCCUCGGAAUGUUCCUCGCAAUGAGCUACUACUAUUUUUGGCGGUAAUUCGCGUCUGAGCCCAGACUCAUCUGCACCUGAUGAACAAUAAAUUCGUAAAAAAAUAUUUUUAAAAACCUGAAUCGAAGAUGCUUGAGUGUGCCAGGAGCGUGCAAAUUUUCGGGGCGAAAUGACAUCCGAGGAGCUCUCGGCAAAAAAUAAAUCGGCUCCGAACAAUGUUCUUUUUCUUUUUGAAAGUUUCUCUGCAGCAAGGAGAACGCAACAUGCACCAAUUUCACCAAAAAAAAAUCUUCACCGUCUAAAAAAGGAAAAAAAUCUUUGUUCUCUCAAAAAAAAAUCUUCGGUAAAUAUAACGAGUUUUUUUAGGUAAAUAAAACGAGCACAGGAGUACAAUUCAUCGUAGGCCUUAAUUAUCUACCUGAAGCCUGAGGCCCAUUUUAGACCAGCCCACUCGUGGACCUUAGUAAUUAUCCACCUGAAGCCUGAACCCCGUACAAUUCCCCAAACCCUCGACCACUGUCCAGUGACUGCCGCCGGCCGCUUUCUCCUCCGCUCCUCGCGGACGCCCGGCUGCUCACCGCCAGCGCUCUCGGUAAGGCCAACCCCUUCUCAUCUCAACCCACCGUCGAUUUGGCGCCCCCGCUUGCUCACCCGCGGCAUCUAUUUACCACAGAGAUGUCGUCUUCGGAGCCGCCCCCAGGCCCCGCCGCCUCCAGCUCCGGCGACCUGCCCGCGGACGCGCUGUACGAGGUCCUCCUCUGCAUCCCGGCCAAGGAGCUCUGCCGCCUCCGCGCCGUCUGCCCGGCCUGGCGCGCCCUCACCUCCGACCCGCUCUUCGUCGCGGCGCACAAGUCCCGCCACCACAAGGCGCCCCCGCUCCUCGCCGUGGCCUACGACGACGACGGUAAUCACAACGGUGUCGAGAUUUUGGAUCUGUCGGGCAACGUGGUGAAGCGGAUUCCGAACACCGAGUACAAAGCUGUUCUGAUGCACGAUAGUAUCCGUGUUGUGCGCACGCGGCUGGACCUCAUCUGUUUGAGUUGGGUUGUCUGCUCUCGGGCCUUCUGGGUGCUGAAUCCCGCCACUGGAGCUACUAUCGCCUUGCCGUUGGGCUUCUCAGAGGAAUUGGAGCAUGAGCUAGAGGGAUUCAUUUGGGACUGCCAAGUUGAGUCCUGUGCUUUUGGGCAUGUCUCCUCUACCAGAGAGUACAAGGCGCUCCGUGUCUCUAGAAUUAAUCAUCACCAGCAGGUAAGUGAGGUUAUCACCUUUGAUGACACCAACCAUGGAUGCUGGAGGAGAAAGCAGGACCCUCCGUCCGAUAUCUGUACUGGUAAGAUGAAAUGUGUGGUCGUCGAUGGGGUGGUCUACUUCUUGAUGAAUUUUUACUGCACAUACUUUGAAACUGGGGUUAUAACCAUUGAGCGCGAAUUUUUACUGCACAUACUCGUUCAACCUUGAGACUGAGGAGUGGCGUGUUCUACCUGGUCCAGAACAGGUGCACAUGUUUGUGCAAGAGAACGAUGAUUACAGUUACUCACAACUUAACCUCGAGUUAUCAUUGGCUGAGUUGAACGGCUGCUUAGUUCUGGUUCAUAAUAUUCUUCACAAAUCUAUGGACUUGUGGUUUUUGCCAGAUUCUGAGAAAAGUAUCUGGGUUAAGAAAUACAACAUGCCUUCACAUGUUUCUAGGCUUUAUAGGUAUCCUUUUCAGAUGUUAGAUGAUGGGACAAUUUUCUUCAGUGGGUUGGAUGGUCUACAAGGUUUACUUGGUGAUGGAGAGCAAGGAGAGGGAUUUCUGCUAAGUUAUGAUCCAAGAAAUGGCACUUAUGGUUAUGCACUCAAACUGAGAGGUUCCAAAUCCAUUGGCAUUUACACAGGAAGCCUGCUGAGUUUAUAGAGUAGCUGUCAGUGAUGAGUUGAAUAAUGCUGGAUGUUUACCUUAUGUUGUGCAUGUGAACAAUUAGUGAGGCAUUGUACUGAUGCAUGGCAAUAAAAAAGUACUUUUGUGCCUUGAAAGUUUAUUAUGUUUAUCUCCGGUACAUUUUGCAUGAGAAGAUUUGCAGUUAUUUGUUCCAUUUUGUAUGGCAAUUUCAGGAGUUUGGUCAAUGACCAGUUUGUAACAAACAAGCUUUUCAAUGUGGUGUUUCAAAAUAUAAUACGCUGCUCUUUACCCUUUGA
RNAcentral lists this long non-coding RNA (12791 nucleotides) under Triticum aestivum (bread wheat). RNAcentral's name for it is "long non-coding RNA (TAES_LNC009079)". The record is from RNAcentral. Lineage: Eukaryota; Viridiplantae; Streptophyta; Magnoliopsida; Poales; Poaceae.